CGGAAAGUAGCUCAGCUUGGUAGAGCACUUGGUUUGGGACCAAGGGGUCGCAGGUUCGAAUCCUGUCUUCCCGA
RNAcentral lists this transfer RNA (74 nucleotides) under Staphylococcus aureus. Its description in RNAcentral is "tRNA-Pro". It matches the Rfam family "tRNA". From Rfam's summary of the family: Transfer RNA (tRNA) molecules are approximately 80 nucleotides in length. Their secondary structure includes four short double-helical elements and three loops (D, anti-codon, and T loops). Further hydrogen bonds mediate the characteristic L-shaped molecular structure. tRNAs have two regions of fundamental functional importance: the anti-codon, which is responsible for specific mRNA codon recognition, and the 3' end, to which the tRNAs corresponding amino acid is attached (by aminoacyl-tRNA synthetases). tRNAs cope with the degeneracy of the genetic code in two manners: having more than one tRNA (with a specific anti-codon) for a particular amino acid; and 'wobble' base-pairing, i.e. permitting non-standard base-pairing at the 3rd anti-codon position. Lineage: Bacteria; Bacillati; Bacillota; Bacilli; Caryophanales; Staphylococcaceae. The record is from RNAcentral. RNAcentral also lists the same sequence under 3 other names.